Long non-coding RNA from Haliotis rufescens (red abalone), 946 nucleotides. RefSeq lists it as uncharacterized. The record is from RefSeq and is a predicted model, not a curated record. The transcript has 2 exons. Lineage: Eukaryota; Metazoa; Mollusca; Gastropoda; Lepetellida; Haliotidae.
ACAGGUAUUAUUUAUUGUUAUUGCUAAGUGUGAUCCUCCUAAAUUCUCCCAAAUCUUCGUUGCUAACAUUUUAAACUGUUGACUACAUAUCCAGGUGAGCUACAGAUCUGGUGAGCUAGAGACAUGGCAAUCUUUUAUCUAAAUCGCCACUGUGCCUUUAUCUCCUGUACAGAGUAUGUGCCUAGGAGUCUUUGUGGAUGGGCAUGUCACUACUGAAACGAAGCUGUAGCGGCAAUUGGAUCUGCGGUGUUUAUCAUCACAGAAUAGAGAUAUCAUAAGUCGGAUAAUAUUGGAUGCUUAACGUAACCGUGUGAUGUGAUACACAACUUUGAUGUUGACAUAUUUCUGUCUCAGUGUUGCACAUAUACAAACACAGUUUCAGAUCUGUAGGAAGGGUCCAGAGGAGAAUAACUGCUCCAUAUUUAACAGCUGACAUUGUGUUUUUGUUUCCCUCGAGAACAUCUCUAGCAAGGAGUACCGUGGUAUGCUGUAGUAUAUGUAGUCGUGCUUCAAGACCAUGCUGUUGCUAUGUAGUUCUGAAUUAACAUACUUCCUCUCAGUGAGAGUUGAGACUUAAGUCCUGCCUCGUGUAAAUGCCGAGACUUAAACAGGUCAAUGAAAAUAAGCACUGGGGCUGUAAAUAGUGCCAGAUCUCCAAUAACCAUCAGGCAUGUCUGAUUCAACUGACCUUUGCCUGGUAUGAAGAAAAGAAGAUAAUAAAUCUGUAACAUCGUAACCCUGAAAUAAUAACACCAGGACUCUACCUCCAGGUCUAGGAGCUAGAUGAAAUAAAACAAUGUUCCUGGUCACACAGAGAAAAUGUGGUAUUUGUGUUGUUAUACACCUGCAGUCACAUUAUUGACGUCAUGUUUCCUCCUUUUGUGUUUUUACAUCAAUGUCCUCAGCUUUGUCUCUUUAAUAUAUUGUAUAAAUACAUGUCAUCUUA